Molecule: long non-coding RNA, 298 nt
Filed under: Trifolium pratense (red clover)
Lineage: Eukaryota; Viridiplantae; Streptophyta; Magnoliopsida; Fabales; Fabaceae
Description: long non-coding RNA (TPRA_LNC010334)
Source: RNAcentral
GGUGGAGUAAGUUUAAUCCGCUAUUACUCUCGACAGAAAGAUUAAAUGCCUGGUUCAAAGCGAACCCUAAUCUAUGCAAGGCAACAAAAUUAUCUCCUUCAUCAGAUAUUAAUGACUUCUCGUCACUUCACCCGAAGCUUUUAGAAUCAUUAAAAAAGAUUACUGAUCCUCAAGAGUUUUUAGAAAAAGUAAAAGAUGCUAUGUCUGUUCUAUCUGACACCGAAAGUACCAGUAUUACCAGCGCGGCAGAAAAUGAAGAUGACUGUUACGGUAUUCAAGACCUGUAGAUUUGACAUCA